UCUAGCUGCGAUUCAAGCUCCAUCUAUAAAUGGAUAAAAUUGGGAUGUUAAAUUAAAGUAGACGAGUUUUUGAAAGUAAAGGAGCAAUAUGAACAAUGUUCAUAUUGCUCCUUUACUUUUUAUUUUAUUAGUAGUCUAAAUAUUUAGAAAUAUUUAUACAUAUAAUUUUAUACAUUUUUAUUUUUACAUUUUUUUUUCAAGAUUCUUUAGCAUUCUUUAUUUAUUAUGUCCAAAUAAUAUAUAUAUGGAUGUCUCUCUUUUUUCUUUUUUUCCUAUUUUUUUUUCCUAUUUUAGGCUAUCUUAGAACAAAAAAGAAUGAAAAAGUCUAAAAAUUGAGGUAGAAAUCAUUCUUGUAUAGUAUAAGGGCGGAUGUAGCCAAGUGGAUCAAG
Molecule: unclassified non-coding RNA, 389 nt
Filed under: Rhynchosia acuminatissima
Lineage: Eukaryota; Viridiplantae; Streptophyta; Magnoliopsida; Fabales; Fabaceae
Description: partial miscellaneous RNA
Source: RNAcentral